CAAAACCAUAAGAUCUCCAUACCCCGUCCGGCAUGUGAGACCACAAUCCCGGUAGGGUUCCCUACGGACCCGGUCCGUCCACCAUCUCCCAGGAUAUCUAGUCAGGCUGACCCCCAUAAUACAAUUAUCAGUGUACACAAUCUUUCAUUUUCCUUUUCCUCAGUCGGCAUCAUCAAUUUAUAUACAAACAAGCAAAACAGUAAUUCAUGCCAAACAGACAACAUACAGUAUCAGUUUUUCAGUCAUUCAACCCAUGAUUAAUAAAAACGUAGUAUAUGCACACAAAUCUGUAAAAUGAACACAUCAAACCUCAUUUUGCAUUUAAAGCUGUAAACAGGCCAAAUAACAGUAAAUCACCAAUCACACUAGACUCGGGCCCCAUUAGCCACCUUAAGCAAUUUCACACAUUCGUUAAUUCAAGAAAUACCGUUUUAUCAUUUUGAACUUUAAUACCGUGAUAGGAAAUAGGGUGAGGGGUCCUUACUUAUUUUUGGGAUCCGAAUACGAUUCACAGUGCGCCUGCACGCCGUCCCUAAUUUUCCCUGAAUUUUUCCCGGGGAACUGAAACACACUAACAGUACCUGCACUUGUUCCAAAAAAAACCCAAAUUAGGCCUAGGGCCUCUUUCGGCCCAAAUCGCAACUCCGGCACGGCGGCUCCGCCGUGCUCCGGCGACGGCGCCGCCGCUGGCGGCGGCGAGUCGCCUCGGGUUGGCUGUUUUCGGCCGAAUUCGGCCACACUCACAUCGGUCCUUGUGAGAAAACAACCCUAGGGCCCUCGGGGGGCCAAAAAAUCACAGAAAAACGGAGCUUACCGGCGGCGGCGCUCUCGGGUGCGGCGGCUCUCCGGCGAGGUUCGUG
This 860-nucleotide long non-coding RNA is filed under the name Carica papaya (papaya). RNAcentral's name for it is "long non-coding RNA (CPAP_LNC001772)". Lineage: Eukaryota; Viridiplantae; Streptophyta; Magnoliopsida; Brassicales; Caricaceae. The record is from RNAcentral.